RNAcentral lists this ribosomal RNA (320 nucleotides) under uncultured eukaryote. RNAcentral's name for it is "SSU rRNA". It matches the Rfam family "Eukaryotic small subunit ribosomal RNA", at positions 587 to 902 of the family's 1831-position model. The record is from RNAcentral.
AGCUCCAAUAGCGUAUAUUAAAGUUGUUGCGGUAAAAAGCUCGUAGUUGGAUUUCUGUUGAAAUCGGUCGGUCCGCUCUAUGAGCGUGUAUCUGACUUUUGGUUUCGGCAUCUCGUGGGAAAACGUAUCUGCGCUUCACUGCGUGGUGCGGUCUUUCCUACGCUUUUACUUUGAGGAAAUUCGAGUGUUUACGGCAGGCAUGUUCCGCUGUGAAGAUGUUAGCAUGGAAUAAUAAUAUAGGACCUUGGUCCCAUUUUGUUGGUUUCUGGAGCUGAGGUAUGCACGAUUAAUAGGAACAUUUGGGGGCAUUUGUAUCGAGG